RNAcentral lists this ribosomal RNA (492 nucleotides) under uncultured bacterium. RNAcentral's name for it is "partial 16S ribosomal RNA". It matches the Rfam family "Bacterial small subunit ribosomal RNA", at positions 29 to 507 of the family's 1533-position model. The record is from RNAcentral.
AGUGAACGCUGGCGGUAGGCCUAACACAUGCAAGUCGAACGGCAGCACAGUAAGAGCUUGCUCUUACGGGUGGCGAGUGGCGGACGGGUGAGGAAUACAUCGGAAUCUACUUUUUCGUGGGGGAUAACGUAGGGAAACUUACGCUAAUACCGCAUACGACCUACGGGUGAAAGCAGGGGAUCUUCGGACCUUGCGCGAUUGAAUGAGCCGAUGUCGGAUUAGCUAGUUGGCGGGGUAAAGGCCCACCAAGGCGACGAUCCGUAGCUGGUCUGAGAGGAUGAUCAGCCACACUGGAACUGAGACACGGUCCAGACUCCUACGGGAGGCCGCAGUGGGGAAUAUUGGACAAUGGGCGCAAGCCUGAUCCAGUCAUACCGCGUGGGUGAAGAAGGCCUUCGGGUUGUAAAGCCCUUUUGUUGGUAAAGAAAAGCAGCAGGUUAAUACCACGCUGUUCUGACGGUACUCAAAGAAUAAGCACCGGCUAACUUCGUG